CACGGAGCGCCCUCUGAUGUCAGUUUCGAUACAUCCAUCAUUGUUUUUGUCGGAGUUCGAAGUAAUGGUGGACUCUGAAUAAAUCUUUCUGAAAGAUUUUCGAGGAAAGAAGAAGAAGAAAGAGUUUGAGUUGGAAAUCAAGAUGGCAAGACACAUAAGUAUAUUGAAGACCACAGAGGAGCCUACAGUUGUGUUUGGUGCUCAGGAGUAUGCUUGUCUGUUUUGCUAUUAAAGAACAGAUUAUGCAGGCAUCAUCAGCCACUUACAGAGCCACAAAAGGACAGUAGUGGUUCAUGGAGGUUUCAAAAUAUACAAGUGUUCACUGAACUGCCAGGGAUCAGGCCACUACCAUUGCUGUUAUUGCCAGAAAACAGUAGUUCAUAAAGAUCAGUUCCUCAGGCACUUGUCA
Long non-coding RNA from Erpetoichthys calabaricus (reedfish), 409 nucleotides. RefSeq lists it as uncharacterized. The transcript is spliced from 3 exons. NCBI's taxonomy places the organism in Eukaryota, Metazoa, Chordata, Cladistia, Polypteriformes, Polypteridae. The record is from RefSeq and is a predicted model, not a curated record.